UACGUAGGGACCAAGCGUUGUUCGGAUUCACUGGGCGUAAAGGGCGCGUAGGCGGCGCGGUAAGUCACUUGUGAAAUCUCUGAGCUUAACUCAGAACGGCCAAGUGAUACUGCAGUGCUAGAGUGUGGAAGGGGCAAUCGGAAUUCUUGGUGUAGCGGUGAAAUGCGUAGAUAUCAAGAGGAACACCUGAGGUGAAGACGGGUUGCUGGGCCAACACUGACGCUGAGGCGCGAAAGCCAGGGGAGCAAACGGG
Molecule: ribosomal RNA, 253 nt
Filed under: uncultured bacterium
Lineage: Bacteria
Description: partial 16S ribosomal RNA
Rfam family: Bacterial small subunit ribosomal RNA
Source: RNAcentral